RNAcentral lists this ribosomal RNA (492 nucleotides) under uncultured bacterium. Its description in RNAcentral is "partial 16S ribosomal RNA". It matches the Rfam family "Bacterial small subunit ribosomal RNA", at positions 29 to 507 of the family's 1533-position model. The record is from RNAcentral.
AGUGAACGCUGGCGGUAGGCCUAACACAUGCAAGUCGAACGGCAGCACAGUAAGAGCUUGCUCUUACGGGUGGCGAGUGGCGGACGGGUGAGGAAUACAUCGGAAUCUACUUUUUCGUGGGGGAUAACGUAGGGAAACUUACGCUAAUACCGCAUACGACCUACGGGUGAAAGCAGGGGAUCUUCGGACCUUGCGCGAUUGAAUGAGCCGAUGUCGGAUUAGCUAGUUGGCGGGGUAAAGGCCCACCAAGGCGACGAUCCGUAGCUGGUCUGAGAGGAUGAUCAGGCAACCUGGAACUGAGACAAGGGUCCGACUCCUACCGGGGGCAGGAGUGGGGAAUAUUGGAAAAUUGGGGGAAGCCUGAUCCCGGCCUACCCGGUUGGUGAAGAAGGCCUUCCGGUUGGAAAGCCCUUUUGUUGGGAAAGAAAAGCCGCCGGUUAAUACCCCGCUGUUCUGACGGGACCCAAAGAAUAAGCCCCCGCUAAAUUCGUG